Molecule: ribosomal RNA, 497 nt
Filed under: uncultured bacterium
Lineage: Bacteria
Description: partial 16S ribosomal RNA
Rfam family: Bacterial small subunit ribosomal RNA
Source: RNAcentral
GAUGAACGCUGGCGGCGUGCCUAAUACAUGCAAGUCGAGCGAACGGACGAGAAGCUUGCUUCUCUGAUGUUAGCGGCGGACGGGUGAGUAACACGUGGAUAACCUACCUAUAAGACUGGGAUAACUUCGGGAAACCGGAGCUAAUACCGGAUAAUAUUUUGAACCGCAUGGUUCAAAAGUAAAAGACGGUCUUGCUGUCACUUAUAGAUGGAUCCGCGCUGCAUUAGCUAGUUGGUAAGGUAACGGCUUACCAAGGCAACGAUGCAUAGCCGACCUGAGAGGGUGAUCGGCCACACUGGAACUGAGACACGGUCCAGACUCCUACGGGAGGCAGCAGUAGGGAAUCUUCCGCAAUGGGCGAAAGCCUGACGGAGCAACGCCGCGUGAGUGACGAAGGUCUUCGGAUCGUAAAACUCUGUUAUUAGGGAAGAACAUAUGUGUAAGUAACUGUGCACAUCUUGACGGUACCUAAUCAGAAAGCCACGGCUAACUACGUG